This 57-nucleotide microRNA precursor is filed under the name Pteropus alecto (black flying fox). RNAcentral's name for it is "microRNA pal-mir-10015 precursor". The record is from miRBase by way of RNAcentral. Lineage: Eukaryota; Metazoa; Chordata; Mammalia; Chiroptera; Pteropodidae.
AUGGCAAUCCUGUGAUAUAGAAUUGACAAUAUUUUCUAAAUCAUAGGAUUGUUGUGA